GCAGUGGUGGUUCAGCGGUAGAAUUUUCCCCUUCCAUAAGGGAGACUGGGUUCGAUUCCCACCCAGUGUA
RNAcentral lists this transfer RNA (70 nucleotides) under Loxodonta africana (African savanna elephant). It matches the Rfam family "tRNA". From Rfam's summary of the family: Transfer RNA (tRNA) molecules are approximately 80 nucleotides in length. Their secondary structure includes four short double-helical elements and three loops (D, anti-codon, and T loops). Further hydrogen bonds mediate the characteristic L-shaped molecular structure. tRNAs have two regions of fundamental functional importance: the anti-codon, which is responsible for specific mRNA codon recognition, and the 3' end, to which the tRNAs corresponding amino acid is attached (by aminoacyl-tRNA synthetases). tRNAs cope with the degeneracy of the genetic code in two manners: having more than one tRNA (with a specific anti-codon) for a particular amino acid; and 'wobble' base-pairing, i.e. permitting non-standard base-pairing at the 3rd anti-codon position. The record is from Rfam by way of RNAcentral. Lineage: Eukaryota; Metazoa; Chordata; Mammalia; Proboscidea; Elephantidae.